This 557-nucleotide ribosomal RNA is filed under the name bacterium 1a12710. RNAcentral describes it as "bacterial SSU rRNA". It matches the Rfam family "Bacterial small subunit ribosomal RNA", at positions 314 to 881 of the family's 1533-position model. The record is from RNAcentral.
UGGGACUGAGACACGGCCCAGACUCCUACGGGAGGCAGCAGUGGGGAAUAUUGCACAAUGGGCGAAAGCCUGAUGCAGCGACGCCGCGUGAGGGAUGACGGCCUUCGGGUUGUAAACCUCUUUCAGCAGGGAAGAAGCGAAAGUGACGGUACCUGCAGAAGAAGCGCCGGCUAACUACGUGCCAGCAGCCGCGGUAAUACGUAGGGCGCAAGCGUUGUCCGGAAUUAUUGGGCGUAAAGAGCUCGUAGGCGGCUUGUCACGUCGGAUGUGAAAGCCCGGGGCUUAACCCCGGGUCUGCAUUCGAUACGGGCAGGCUAGAGUGUGGUAGGGGAGAUCGGAAUUCCUGGUGUAGCGGUGAAAUGCGCAGAUAUCAGGAGGAACACCGGUGGYGAAGGYGGAUCUCUGGGCCAUUACUGACGCUGAGGAGCGAAAGCGUGGGGAGCGAACAGGAUUAGAUACCCUGGUAGUCCACGCCGUAAACGUUGGGAACUAGGUGUUGGCGACAUUCCACGUCGUCGGUGCCGCAGCUAACGCAUUAMGUUCCCCGCCUGGGGAGU